AGUGAACGCUGGCGGUAGGCCUAACACAUGCAAGUCGAACGGCAGCACAGUAAGAGCUUGCUCUUACGGGUGGCGAGUGGCGGACGGGUGAGGAAUACAUCGGAAUCUACUUUUUCGUGGGGGAUAACGUAGGGAAACUUACGCUAAUACCGCAUACGACCUACGGGUGAAAUCAGGGGAUCUUCGGACCUUGCGCUAUUGAAUGAGCCGAUGUCGGAUUAGCUAGUUGGCGGGGUAAAGGCCCACCAAGGCGACGGUCCGUAGCUGGUCUGAGAGGAUGAUCAGCCACACUGGAACUGAGACACGGUCCAGACUCCUACGGGAGGCAGCAGUGGGGAAUAUUGGACAAUGGGCGCAAGCCUGAUCCAGCCAUACCGCGUGGGUGAAGAAGGCCUUCGGGUUGUAAAGCCCUUUUGUUGGGAAAGAAAAGCAGCAGGUUAAUACCCCGCUGUUCUGACGGUACCCAAAGAAUAAGCACCGGCUAACUUCGUG
RNAcentral lists this ribosomal RNA (492 nucleotides) under uncultured bacterium. RNAcentral describes it as "partial 16S ribosomal RNA". It matches the Rfam family "Bacterial small subunit ribosomal RNA", at positions 29 to 507 of the family's 1533-position model. The record is from RNAcentral.